GACGAACGCUGGUGGCGUGCUUAACACAUGCAAGUCGAGCGGUAAGGCCCUUUCGGGGGUACACGAGCGGCGAACGGGUGAGUAACACGUGGGUGACCUGCCCUCAGCUCUGGGAUAAGCCUGGGAAACCGGGUCUAAUACUGGAUAUGACUCCAUGACGCAUGUUGUGGGGUGGAAAGCCUUGUGCGGCUGAGGAUGGGCCCGCGGCCUAUCAGCUUGUUGGUGGGGUGAGGCCUACCAAGGCGACGACGGGUAGCCGGCCUGAGAGGGCGACCGGCCACACUGGGACUGAGACACGGCCCAGACUCCUACGGGAGGCAGCAGUGGGGAAUCUUGCGCAAUGGGCGAAAGCCUGACGCAGCGACGCCGCGUGAGGGAUGACGGCC
RNAcentral lists this ribosomal RNA (386 nucleotides) under uncultured bacterium. Its description in RNAcentral is "bacterial SSU rRNA". It matches the Rfam family "Bacterial small subunit ribosomal RNA", at positions 28 to 416 of the family's 1533-position model. The record is from RNAcentral.